This 238-nucleotide unclassified non-coding RNA is filed under the name Mortierella sp. RNAcentral's name for it is "partial contains small subunit ribosomal RNA, internal transcribed spacer 1, and 5.8S ribosomal RNA". The stretch from base 1 to 46 matches the Rfam family "Eukaryotic small subunit ribosomal RNA", at positions 1786 to 1831 of the family's 1831-position model. Lineage: Eukaryota; Fungi; Mortierellomycota; Mortierellomycetes; Mortierellales; Mortierellaceae. The record is from RNAcentral.
AAGUCGUAACAAGGUUUCCGUAGGUGAACCUGCGGAAGGAUCAUUCAUAACGAGUGUUUAUGGCACUCUAACAAUCCAUACCCACCUUGUGUGCAGCGUUAAGAGUCUAUGUGUCUCUCUCUCAGAGGGCACGUGAUUUCUUCUAAUCAAUCUACCUUAAACAAGUUUGUCUGAAGCAUUGUAUCAUGAAUAAACAUAAUUCAAAAUACAACUUUCAACAACGGAUCUCUUGGCUCUC